Molecule: long non-coding RNA, 944 nt
Filed under: Strigops habroptila (Kakapo)
Lineage: Eukaryota; Metazoa; Chordata; Aves; Psittaciformes; Psittacidae
Description: lncRNA (ENSSHBG00005017287.1)
Source: RNAcentral
GCGCGGCCCUUGGCGCUGGCAGCGCGGGUGCGGUGGUGAGCACCUGCCUCAGGGCAGGGCCCGGCCCAGGAGCUCUGCUCCGGCUGCCCCGGCGGCGGCAGCGGCGGCAACGGACAGAGCCGAGGGGAGUAUUUGGAAGCUCUAUCUCCGAACGUAAAUGAGACCACCACAGCUAUGUCUACACUGUAAUGGAACAAAAAGUCCUUUGGACCAGAAGUUAAGCAUGGUAUAAUCUGUACCCACUCCCCCCGGCCCUACCCACUCCAGAUACAUGAUGGCAGCAAGGACCACCAACAGACUGCUUGUGCGCAUUAGCAUGCUGGUGCACUAAUCUUCCAAACUCACUCAGAAAGUACAGAUCUUCAAAUACAAGCACAAGUAAUGAGAAUACGACAACAACAAAACAACAACAACAAAAGGCCUCUGAACUCAGCUGAAAAAGGAGGCUGCUGACUCCCCAUCAACAAGAUGGUGUUGAUCAGCUUGCCUUUCUGCGAGGCAGCUGCUCACAGCUUCUGCUAAGCUGUGCACUCAGAAUGGGACAAGAGAAGAUGAAGCGGAAGAGACGAGAUACGGCUGCUGGGGUAGGAGUCUGGGAACAGGGAAUAUUGCAGUUCAUAUUAGAGUGGGGAGGGAGAUAAGGAAGGAAAAUGCAACUAAACAAUUGAUUUGUGACUCACUGACACUGUGUAUUUUGCCUGUUCUUGGCCUGUGCAAGUGAUGAUCUCUGUCUUUUGGUCUUCUUCCACAUACUCCCACUGCUGUCUAAGCUUUCCCAUGUGUCAGAAUGACCCAGAUGUUUCUCCUCCACCAACUGUCUUCCAAAUUAACUGAGCUACUCUUAUGAUUAACAGGCAAGAGGUACACGAACAGUGUGCAUUUUCAGUAAUGAAUUCUGCAGCUCGCUGAAAACUAAAAGCUGAACCCAAGACAUUAAUAAAAAU